CGCAGCGCGACGCCGACGCUGACUAGGGAGGCGCCUCGACGGGCUGCCCCCUCCCUGGCGAGGCGUGGGCCUGUCCCGGGAGCAGGCUGCUGCAGUUUGACCAGGCGCAUUGCGGAUCAGUUGGUGUUCUUGCCAGAGGCCUAGCAGCAACUUCCUAGCGCUACUACUUGCACCUCCCAAGGCAGCUGAGCCUCCCCACUUCUCUGGCCAGACACACUCCUACCGUGCAUCGUAGAACCACCUCUCUGACGCCAGCAGGACCUUAGUAAGAGUAAUGGGUAUGCGACAGAUGGCUGUAGUCAGGCCCUACUGAUUUCAAAAUAGCUAAAAGACUAUCUCUGUAGUUAGCUUUUGUGGCCUUGAUGGACCUGCAGCUGUGUAUUGUUCCCUCAGACAUACAAAUUCGUGGAGAUGAGUUAUGAAAGUAUUUAGUAUCCAAGUUUUUCAUCUGCUUAAUAUUUGGGAUUUCAAACACAAGUUUUGCCAGCUAGGGGUCAACAUCCCUGAAAGUGUUAGGGAUGGAGCUAGCUGACAGGCCUUUCUAAAAGAACAGAGAGCCUGGUGAAGAGAUGAAAAAUCAAUCUCACUUGAUACUCCUGUUAAAAACAACAACAAACCUUUAAAUAGCUCUCUACUAACACAUAACUCAAAUCCGAUCAAAUCUACCUGACCUUUACCAUUGUUUUCUGUAUUCAUCAACUAUUACUGAGUACUUCAAAGUCAGGCAAUAGGAGUUAAUAAAACAGAUGAAACUUGA
This is a long non-coding RNA of Gorilla gorilla gorilla (western lowland gorilla), 757 nucleotides long. RefSeq lists it as uncharacterized. NCBI's taxonomy places the organism in Eukaryota, Metazoa, Chordata, Mammalia, Primates, Hominidae. The transcript is spliced from 2 exons. The record is from RefSeq and is a predicted model, not a curated record.